CGCGGCCUAUCAGCUUGUUGGUGGGGUAAUGGCCUACCAAGGCGACGACGGGUAGCCGGCCUGAGAGGGUGACCGGCCACACUGGGACUGAGACACGGCCCAGACUCCUACGGGAGGCAGCAGUGGGGAAUAUUGCACAAUGGGCGAAAGCCUGAUGCAGCGACGCCGCGUGAGGGAUGACGGCCUUCGGGUUGUAAACCUCUUUCAGUAGGGAAGAAGCGUAAGUGACGGUACCUGCAGAAGAAGCACCGGCUAACUACGUGCCAGCAGCCGCGGUAAUACGUAGGGUGCGAGCGUUGUCCGGAAUUAUUGGGCGUAAAGAGCUUGUAGGCGGUUUGUCGCGUCUGCUGUGAAAAUCCGGGGCUCAACCCCGGACUUGCAGUGGGUACGGGCAGGCUAGAGUGUGGUAGGGGAGACUGGAAUUCCUGGUGUAGCGGUGAAAUGCGCAGAUAUCAGGAGGAACACCGAUGGCGAAGGCAGGUCUCUGGGCCACUACUGACGCUGAGAAGCGAAAGCAUGGGGAGCGAACAGGAUUAGAUACCCUGGUAGUCCAUGCCGUAAACGUUGGGAACUAGGUGUGGGUCUCAUUCCACGAGAUCCGUGCCGCAGCUAACGCAUUAAGUUCCCCGCCUGGGGAGUACGG
RNAcentral lists this ribosomal RNA (643 nucleotides) under uncultured Actinomycetes bacterium. RNAcentral's name for it is "bacterial SSU rRNA". It matches the Rfam family "Bacterial small subunit ribosomal RNA", at positions 232 to 885 of the family's 1533-position model. Lineage: Bacteria; Bacillati; Actinomycetota; Actinomycetes. The record is from RNAcentral.